AUACGGAGGAUGCGAGCGUUAUCCGGAUUUAUUGGGUUUAAAGGGAGCGUAGGUGGGAUAUUAAGUCAGCUGUGAAAGUUUGGGGCUCAACCUUAAAAUUGCAGUUGAUACUGGUUUCCUUGAGUACGGUAUAGGUGGGCGGAAUUCGUGGUGUAGCGGUGAAAUGCUUAGAUAUCACGAAGAACUCCGAUCGCGAAGGCAGCUCACCGGGCCGGAACUGACACUGAUGCUCGAAAGUGCGGGUAUCAAACAGGAUUAGAUACCCUGGUUGUCCGCACAGUAAACGAUGAAUACUCGCUGUUUGCGAUACACUGUAAGCGGCCAAGCGAAAGCGUUAAGUAUUCCACCUGGGGAGUACGCCGGCAACGGUGAAACUUAAAGGAAUUGACGGGG
RNAcentral lists this ribosomal RNA (393 nucleotides) under uncultured bacterium. RNAcentral describes it as "partial 16S ribosomal RNA". It matches the Rfam family "Bacterial small subunit ribosomal RNA", at positions 523 to 918 of the family's 1533-position model. The record is from RNAcentral.